This 587-nucleotide long non-coding RNA is filed under the name Mytilus galloprovincialis (Mediterranean mussel). The record is from RNAcentral. Lineage: Eukaryota; Metazoa; Mollusca; Bivalvia; Mytilida; Mytilidae.
AACAAAAUGUUCAUGGAAGUAAUUAAAGGAAUCAGACCUAGUUCAUCAUAAAUUUAUAAUUACCAAACUUGGUUUAACCUUGCUGUCAUGACAUGGUCCAGAGUUUUGUCCAGAUUUGUUUCUCAUUAACUAUCGUUCAUGGGUCAACAGAUGUUUAAAAUUGAAUUCUGGAAAAAGCUUAGACAUAGAUCUGAUAGAUGUCAUAUGGACUUUUGUAUUAAAGAAGUGAUAAAACAAAAAACAAAUAUGAAGAACAGCAACCAAAGACAUCUCUGAAUUACAGACACCUGACUGCACAGGCACUGGGAUACAGUAAAGUCUUGGUUUAAUACAUUUUACUAGUGCUCAAUUCUUCCUUAACCUGGGACAGUGGUGUAACACAACCUAACAAUAAACUUUAAAAAUAAUCAUUGGAAAAUUGAUUUGCUCAUCAGAUUGGCACACAGCACAAAAAACACAACCAACCAUGAUAUAAAACUCAAAGUGCCAAUCUAAUAAAUAUCCUGUUUUUCAUUUUCAAGAUUCAGCUUUUUUUUGGAUGUUUUCUUGAUUUAGAUGUUUUCUUGAAAACAAAAUGGAUAGAGAAA